Molecule: non-coding RNA, 72 nt
Organism: Beta vulgaris subsp. vulgaris (sugar beet)
Lineage: Eukaryota; Viridiplantae; Streptophyta; Magnoliopsida; Caryophyllales; Amaranthaceae
Source: Rfam
UAGCACAUGAUGAUUUCUUCGGAUUCCCCUUCAAGACUUAAUGGAUGAUGUGAACUCCGAGUAUCUGAUGCG